Molecule: ribosomal RNA, 786 nt
Filed under: uncultured Dechloromonas sp.
Lineage: Bacteria; Pseudomonadati; Pseudomonadota; Betaproteobacteria; Rhodocyclales; Azonexaceae
Description: bacterial SSU rRNA
Rfam family: Bacterial small subunit ribosomal RNA
Source: RNAcentral
AACAGGGAGCUUGCUCCGCUGACGAGUGGCGAACGGGUGAGUAAUGUAUCGGAACGUACCUUUCAGUGGGGGAUAACGUAGCGAAAGUUACGCUAAUACCGCAUAUUCUGUGAGCAGGAAAGCAGGGGAUCGCAAGACCUUGCGCUGAUUGAGCGGCCGAUAUCAGAUUAGCUAGUUGGUGAGGUAAAGGCUCACCAAGGCGACGAUCUGUAGCGGGUCUGAGAGGAUGAUCCGCCACACUGGAACUGAGACACGGUCCAGACUCCUACGGGAGGCAGCAGUGGGGAAUUUUGGACAAUGGGGGCAACCCUGAUCCAGCCAUGCCGCGUGAGUGAAGAAGGCCUUCGGGUUGUAAAGCUCUUUCGGCCGGGAAGAAAUCGCAUGGGUUAAUACCCUGUGCGGAUGACGGUACCGGCAUAAGAAGCACCGGCUAACUACGUGCCAGCAGCCGCGGUAAUACGUAGGGUGCGAGCGUUAAUCGGAAUUACUGGGCGUAAAGCGUGCGCAGGCGGUUUUGUAAGACAGGCGUGAAAUCCCCGGGCUCAACCUGGGAACUGCGCUUGUGACUGCAAGGCUAGAGUAUGGCAGAGGGGGGUGGAAUUCCACGUGUAGCAGUGAAAUGCGUAGAGAUGUGGAGGAACACCAAUGGCGAAGGCAGCCCCCUGGGCCAAUACUGACGCUCAUGCACGAAAGCGUGGGUAGCAAACAGGAUUAGAUACCCUGGUAGUCCACGCCCUAAACGAUGUCAACUAGGUGUUGGGUGGGUAAAACCAUUUAGUACCGGAG